UUGUUUUAUUUUAUAAUAGUGUUUUAUUUGAUAUAAUAGGAUGUGAAAGCCCUGAAAAGUUGUGGAACAUCAAAUUUUUGUAAUGGAAUAGAAUUUUAAAUGUGCUAACAGCUAAGUAAUGAAUCUUAUCUCAGUAGUAAAUGAAAUCUACUACAGAAUGAUUGAUCUACAUUCAGUAAAUUAUUCUACUCAUAAAGAGUCCUUUAACAUAGCAAACAAUCUAUCCUAAUAUAGCUGUUUUUAAGAUUUGGUGUUUCUGAAUAUUAGAGUUUCCUUAAGGAUCUCUACAUCAUAUAGUGAUCUGAAACAUGUGAAACCAUUUAUGUUGUAUGCAAAAAUUCGGAACACACUGUCUUCAGAAUCUGAAAUGGAACAUAAAAAUAAUAACAUACAUUUAUUGGAUACUUCACUGUGCAUCAGUUUCCAAGCUAAGCACUUGAUACAUGCCAUCUCAUUUAAUCCUCACAAGAAUCCUACAAGGAGCUGUUAUGGGAAGAAUCUGGGACCACAAUGUCCCCCCAAAUAAAGAGGGAGCCGAGAGACCAAAGAAUGACUCAGACAAGUCCAGGAAGCAAAAUGUGGUGAUUUUAAAGCUGUUAUAGUGGAAGUAUCAGGACAAGCCCAUUACACGGGUACAGCAAGCUUUAUAGUAGAAGAUGACGACCCACUGAGGGAUGGAUUUCUUCUC
RNAcentral lists this small RNA (688 nucleotides) under Pongo abelii (Sumatran orangutan). RNAcentral's name for it is "processed transcript". The record is from RNAcentral. Lineage: Eukaryota; Metazoa; Chordata; Mammalia; Primates; Hominidae.